This 1373-nucleotide ribosomal RNA is filed under the name uncultured bacterium. Its description in RNAcentral is "bacterial SSU rRNA". It matches the Rfam family "Bacterial small subunit ribosomal RNA". The record is from RNAcentral.
AGAGUUUGCUUCUGGCUCAGGACGAACGCUGGCGGCGUGCCUAACACAUGCAAGUCGAACGGGCCGAUUUCCUUCGGGAAUGAAAGCUAGUGGCGGACGGGUGAGUAACGCGUGAGUAACCUGCCUCUCAGAGUGGAAUACCGUUUGGAAACGAACGUUAAUACCGCAUAACGUCACGGAGCCGCAUGACUCUGUGACCAAAGGAGCAAUCCGCUGAGAGAUGGACUCGCGUCCGAUUAGAUAGUUGGUGAGGUAACGGCUCACCAAGUCGACGAUCGGUAGCCGGACUGAGAGGUUGAACGGCCACAUUGGGACUGAGACACGGCCCAGACUCCUACGGGAGGCAGCAGUGAGGGAUAUUGCACAAUGGGCGAAAGCCUGAUGCAGCAACGCCGCGUGAGGGAUGACGGUUUUCGGAUUGUAAACCUCUGUCUUCGGUGAUGAUAGUGACAUUAGCCGAGGAGGAAGCCACGGCUAACUACGUGCCAGCAGCCGCGGUAAUACGUAGGUGGCGAGCGUUGUCCGGAAUUACUGGGUGUAAAGGGAGCGCAGGCGGGAAAGCAAGUCAGUGGUGAAAUUUAUGGGCUUAACCCAUAAACUGCCAUUGAAACUGUCUUUCUUGAGUGGAGUAGAGGUAAGCGGAAUUCCGAGUGUAGCGGUGAAAUGCGUAGAGAUUCGGAGGAACACCAGUGGCGAAGGCGGCUUACUGGGCUCUAACUGACGCUGAGGCUCGAAAGUGUGGGGAGCAAACAGGAUUAGAUACCCUGGUAGUCCACACUGUAAACGAUGAUUAUUAGGUGUGGGAGGUCUGCCCCCUCCGUCCCGCAGUUAACGCAAUAAAGUAAUCCACCUGGGGAGUACGACCGCAAGGUUGAAACUCAAAGGAAUUGACGGGGGCCCGCACAAGCAGUGGAUUAUGUGGUUUAAUUCGAAGCAACGCGAAGAACCUUACCAGGUCUUGACAUCCAACUAACGAACUAGAGAUAGAUUAGGUGCCCUUCGGGGAAAGUUGAGACAGGUGGUGCAUGGUUGUCGUCAGCUCGUGUCGUGAGAUGUUGGGUUAAGUCCCGCAACGAGCGCAACCCCUGCCAUUAGUUGCUACGCAAGAGCACUCUAAUGGGACCGCUACCGACAAGGUGGAGGAAGGUGGGGACGACGUCAAAUCAUCAUGCCCCUUAUGACCUGGGCUACACACGUAAUACAAUGGCCGUUAACAGAAGGAAGCGAAGGCGCGAGCCGGAGCAAACCCCCAAAAACGGUCUCAGUUCGGAUUGCAGGCUGCAACUCGCCUGUAUGAAGUCGGAAUUGCUAGUAAUCGCGGAUCAGCAUGCCGCGGUGAAUAAGAGGCCGGGCCUUGUACACACCGCCCGUCA